This 301-nucleotide ribosomal RNA is filed under the name uncultured bacterium. RNAcentral's name for it is "partial 16S ribosomal RNA". It matches the Rfam family "Bacterial small subunit ribosomal RNA", at positions 509 to 807 of the family's 1533-position model. The record is from RNAcentral.
CAGUCGCCGCGGUAAAACGAAGGGGGCUAGCGUUGCUCGGAAUGACUGGGCGUAAAGGGCGCGUAGGCGGCGGACACAGUCAGGCGUGAAAUUCCUGGGCUUAACCUGGGAACUGCGCUUGUGACUGCACAGCUAGAGUAUGGCAGAGGGGGGUGGAAUUCCACGCGUAGCAGUGAAAUGCGUAGAGAUGUGGAGGAACACCGAUGGCGAAGGCAGCCCCCUGGGCCAAUACUGACGCUCAUGCACGAAAGCGUGGGGAGCAAACAGGAUUAGAUACCCCUGUAGUCCCUGUCUCUUAUAC